AGGACGAACGCUGGCGGCGUGCUUAACACAUGCAAGUCGAACGGUGAAGCCUUCGGGUGGAUCAGUGGCGAACGGGUGAGUAACACGUGAGCAAUCUGCCCUUGACUCUGGGAUAACUUCGGGAAACCGUGGCUAAUACCGGAUAUGACACAUAGUCGCAUGGUUUGUGUGUGGAAAGAUUUAUCGGUCAGGGAUGAGCUCGCGGCCUAUCAGCUUGUUGGUGGGGUAAUGGCUCACCAAGGCGACGACGGGUA
RNAcentral lists this ribosomal RNA (254 nucleotides) under uncultured bacterium. RNAcentral's name for it is "partial small subunit ribosomal RNA". It matches the Rfam family "Bacterial small subunit ribosomal RNA", at positions 26 to 285 of the family's 1533-position model. The record is from RNAcentral.